AAGAACCUUACCAAGGCUUGACAUGUGCCAGACCGCUCCAGAGAUGGGGUUUCCCUUCGGGGCUGGUUCACAGGUGGUGCAUGGUUGUCGUCAGCUCGUGUCGUGAGAUGUUGGGUUAAGUCCCGCAACGAGCGCAACCCUCGUUCCAUGUUGCCAGCACGUAGUGGUGGGGACUCAUGGGAGACUGCCGGGGUCAACUCGGAGGAAGGUGGGGAUGACGUCAAAUCAUCAUGCCCCUUAUGUCUUGGGCUUCACGCAUGCUACAAUGGCCGGUACAAUGGGUUGCGAUACUGUGAGGUGGAGCUAAUCCCUAAAAGCCGGUCUCAGUUCGGAUUGGGGUCUGCAACUCGACCCCAUGAAGUCGGAGUCGCUAGUAAUCGCAGAUCAGCAACGCUGCGGUGAAUACGUUCCCGGGCCUUGUACACACCGCCCGUCAAGUCACGAAAGUUGGUAACACCCGAAGCCGAUGGCCUAACCACCUUGUGUGGGGGGAGUCGU
This 498-nucleotide ribosomal RNA is filed under the name Arthrobacter sp. RNAcentral's name for it is "bacterial SSU rRNA". It matches the Rfam family "Bacterial small subunit ribosomal RNA", at positions 964 to 1456 of the family's 1533-position model. The record is from RNAcentral. Lineage: Bacteria; Bacillati; Actinomycetota; Actinomycetes; Micrococcales; Micrococcaceae.